Molecule: unclassified non-coding RNA, 337 nt
Filed under: soil metagenome
Description: partial contains 5.8S ribosomal RNA, internal transcribed spacer 2, and large subunit ribosomal RNA
Rfam family: 5.8S ribosomal RNA (bases 1-120)
Source: RNAcentral
GAUGAAGAACGUAGUGAAAUGCGAUAAGUAAUGUGAAUUGCAGAAUUCAGUGAAUCAUCGAAUCUUUGAACGCACAUUGCGCCCCUUGGUAUUCCGAGGGGCAUGCCUGUUCGAGCGUCAUUACACCACUCAAGCUAUGCUUGGUAUUGGGCGUCGUCCUUAGUUGGGCGCGCCUUAAAGACCUCGGCGAGGCCACUCCGGCUUUAGGCGUAGUAGAAUUUAUUCGAACGUCUGUCAAAGGAGAGGAACUCUGCCGACUGAAGCCUUUAUUUUUCUAGGUUGACCUCGGAUCAGGUAGGGAUACCCGCUGAACUUAAGCAUAUCAAUAAGCGGAGGA